This 404-nucleotide ribosomal RNA is filed under the name uncultured bacterium. RNAcentral describes it as "bacterial SSU rRNA". It matches the Rfam family "Bacterial small subunit ribosomal RNA", at positions 29 to 417 of the family's 1533-position model. The record is from RNAcentral.
AACGAACGCUGGCGGUAUGCCUAACACAUGCAAGUCGCACGAGAAAGUACUUCGGUAUGAGUAGAGUGGCGCACGGGUGAGUAACACGUAGGUGACCUUCCGAAUAGUGGGGGAUAACUCGGAGAAAUCCGGGCUAAUACCGCAUAUGUACGACAAAUCUGAGAGUAGUCGUAGAAAGAAUGCCUCUACUUGUAAGCAUUCGCUAAUCGAUGGGCCUGCGGAGCAUUAGCUUGUUGGUGGGGUAAGUGGCCUACCAAGGCUACGAUGCUUAACGGAUCUGAGAGGAUGAUCCGUCACACUGGAACUGAGACACGGUCCAGGACUCCUACGGGAGGCAGCAGUGGGGAAUAUUGCGCAAUGGACGCAAGUCUGACGCAGCAAUACCGCGUGAGUGAGGAAGGCCU